UACGUAGGGUGCAAGCGUUAUCCGGAAUUACUGGGCGUAAAGCGUGCGCAGGCGGUGAUGUAAGACAGUUGUGAAAUCCCCGGGCUCAACCUGGGAACUGCAUCUGUGACUGCAUCGCUGGAGUACGGUAGAGGGGGAUGGAAUUCCGCGUGUAGCAGUGAAAUGCGUAGAUAUGCGGAGGAACACCGAUGGCGAAGGCAAUCCCCUGGACCUGUACUGACGCUCAUGCACGAAAGCGUGGGGAGCAAACAGG
Molecule: ribosomal RNA, 253 nt
Filed under: uncultured bacterium
Lineage: Bacteria
Description: partial 16S ribosomal RNA
Rfam family: Bacterial small subunit ribosomal RNA
Source: RNAcentral